GGGAAGUCGCGCCCCCACGUCCGAAGCUAGAAGGGGGAGGCUGUGGGAAUUCCUUGUAGAUCGGGGGAAACGGUGACUCGGACUCCAGUCACAAAGCUCUCCACAUCACGUGACCGACCUCACCUUCGCUCCAGAAACGUCCUCAGUUUUAGCCGUGGCAAAUAAAGUGGAAGGACGUGACCUGCUCGUCCCCUCUAAAGGCCCUCGGCCUGGAUUGGGCCCUUCAGCGAACUCUAGUAUUCCAGGGUGCAACAUUCAAGGUCAAGGUCGGGCAGCGGCUGUCUAGGGUGCAGCGGGACUCUGGACUCCUCGGUUUCCUAACCGAGAAGGGGGAGCCCUGCAAAUUGGGGGGCCUUACUCUCGGGGAAGGGGUUCUUUCCCGUUACUGAUCACCCCUUCCGUGUGGGGUGGGAGGACCCUCCCCGGGUUCUGUGCGGGCUGAGCGCUGUGGCCGCAAUGGGUCCCCAAGUAGCCCUCCUGGUGGCGGCGCUAGCCGGCUGCCUGCUUCCUGCCGGGGGCUGUGUCAUAUGUGAUCAGAGGGUCGUGGCGGCUCUGGACGCCUUGGAAAAGGAAUACCUGCCUACCCACAUGGCGCGCGAGCGUCAGAGACAAGUGAUGGAAACGAUAAGACAAACCGUGAGAAAUUUCUGGGACCUGCCAUAUUUAGAGGAUGCCUUUAUGGGGGUUAUAGGUGAGGGCAGGGUAGAGCGUGGGAACCCCGGGUCGUGGAAAAAGAGGAGUCUGGUGCUAGGAUUCCUGGGAGCAGGGACGGGGCGCGGGGAGGGAGGGAAGGGCCGGAGCCAGAGUCUACUGGGUUCGUGAUGGAGAGGGCUGAGAUGCAGAUGCCAGGGCUUUCCGAGCGCUAGGAAAUACUGUGUUCUCCUACCCCUGACCCUGCAAUUUUAUGUACAAAACUACAACUCCCAGAAGGCAACAGACAGGCAAUCCUUUACAGCCCUAGCCUUGCCCAAUAGCCACAUGGGCAUUGUAGUUUUUAACACUAGCUGAGCCAAUGGGACCACAAGGCUUCGAAUCUGAGGUUCUAUCUCCCCUCCCCGCAUCCCCCGUGUCCCUCCAGAUGAGGCCACGAUGGAAACGUCAGUGUUGGGUUUUCUGAGGAGUAUGACACUUAUCACAAACAGUGACAUAGCAGGUAAAUGGCACAGUGGCCAGGGGAGGGGCUUCGGAAUCCUUUGGCUCUGGAGCCAAACUGCCUAGGUUCAAACACCGGCCCUGUCAUCCCCUGGCUGUGUGGCCUUUAGGGAGGGAUAUCACAGCUUUGUCACCUCCGAACUGGGUCAUAACGGUGCCUGCACCCAGGCCAGUGACUUAGCCCAGUGGCCAGCAUGGUUAAGUGGUCAUUCAAUUUCACUGCGCCUCCCGGAGAUGGCCCCAACCUGGAACGCCAGCCUCUUCAGACGGGUACCUGUACCUCCUCCUGGGGUGGGUGGGAGGAGGGGUCGCCCUCUGUCACCCUGCUCUUUCCCAGAUGACACUUUCGUGAAGGAGUUCUCCUGGAUGUUGACUCUGGAAAAGGCAGCCUUUCAGCGCAAUGUUGCUCGGUUCCAAAGAGAGGGUGAGGGAAGAUGGGUUCCCUCAGGGACCACAGCCCCUUCCUCCACCAGUCCCGGGGUCCCCGUCCCCAGUCCUCUGCUUCUCUAUGUCCAGCCCCUCACCUCUCCCAACAGCGUCCUCCCUCCAACCCAAGAGCCCAAACCCCAACCUAUUCCUUCUCCCCCUCUCUCGUGUCCUUUAACUUAGAAAUCUCAUCACUUUUUUUUUUUUCUUCCUUCUGAGGCAGAUUUCUGUCCCAACAAAUGUGGUGAGUCCAGAUUAGGGAAGCUGGUUUUCUAUCCCCCAUUCUGGCCCCGGUUAAUACCCAGCCUUUCUCCUCCUGCUUUGGGUCUCGAUGGUUCUUCCUUCCCCACGUCUGAGAGGUUCCUGGUCCCCAGUAGUCCUUCUGCACAGCGGACUUCCUGGGCGACGGGUCCUAUUCCAUGUGGGCUCCUCACUGAGCCCGGUUAGGUCCCUCUUCCGGCAGGUCUGCCUUCUAGCCCCGCCCCUUGGGCUGACCUCUCGGGAUUAGGCGCUGGGCCCCGCCCCAGCCCUUGACCCUGCCCUCUCCUUUUAGUCUCUUCUAUCAGGAUAAAUGCAACCUUGAUCCUGCCCCUUCAGGUAUGAUGUUGCAGCCUCUGAUCUGGUGCAGUAAUUGUAAAAAGCAGCUUCACGUUUGUCGAAAGUCCACAGAUUGCGGUGGUGAGAGAGCUGGGGCCAGCUGGAGGGAGUGGGGGUUGACUCAAGAGGGGCGGAGCCAGAGGAGAGCCGGGGUCUAGAGAGGCCAAAGAAAGGAGCCGGCCCACCAGAAAAGUGGGGGCCAAGACCAAGUGCGAGGGAGUUGAGGGAGAACCAAGAUGCAUCCCACCGUAACCGCCUGUCCCCAGUGCGCCAAAUCAACGUCCACGAAAAGGAAGACUUGGUCCUGGACUGUGAGCUCAACUGGCAUAAAUUAUCUCAAGGCCUGACCUAUUACAGCUUUUACAGGGUGGGCCCUUCAACCCCAUCAACCCCAAGUCCAUUAGGCUUGGUUGAGCGCCCACCCCGGUAUCCACAAGCUUGUUGCCACAAUCCCCAUGACCCAUGACCUACCAGGUUUGACUUCUACGGGUCCCCGGGGACCCCAUGCCCUUACCAGUAACCCUAGACUCCCAUCUCCCCCACUGAGAUCCCGUGAUGCUCUCACACCUGUACUUCCCCAAACCCUGAACUCCCCAGGCCUCUGUGACCCCUUGAGCUUGGGUCUAGGUUUGGGGGAGCAAUUCUGAGACCUUGGUGUACAAGGGGAAACAGCCCACCCUGACCAAGCCCCUGGUGGGGCCAGAGGAUGCAGGUGACUACCGCUGUGAGUUGGGCACUGUGAGAUCCCUCCCAGCCACGGUCAUCCAUUUUAAAGUCACAGGUCAGAGCUGGGGAGUCGACGGAAGUGUGGGAAUCAGGGUCCUGGGGUUAGGGGACAGUCAGCUUGGGGCAUGGCCUAUGGGGCAAAACUUCCUGUCGGGGUGUCAUUUCAGGCCACGGGGGUGUGGCCACCCGCCACGGUGGCCGGGGUCCAGGCAGAAAGGGUCGCGAUUGUCUCCUCCAAGGCCCGGGUCUUGGGGGAAGGUUGGAGGGGGGGGAGCUUGCCUGGGCCACGGGGGACCUUGGUGGCCUCCCAAGGCUGCUCUUUCUCUCUCCUCUAUCAGUGUUGCCUCAGAGAAUCAUAGAGGAGACACCGACAUCAAACUUUGAAACCGAGGAGCAGCUGUCCCCAACCCUCCAGCCUUCAGAGUACCCUAAGCCCGAGAAGGUGCUGAGAAGCCUUCUGGCAGGGCUGCUGAUCUGGGGCUUUGUGGUGCUGAUCAUCAGCUUUGUCACCGCGUGAGCCAACCCUGAUGAAGGCGGGGCACGAACAGAGGGACGGGGUCUCCAAAUCCCAAUGCAGGAGGGGGUCCUUUAAGGGAGAGGCCUUAGAAAAUGGUAGCGAUGAUCCAGCCUGGGUCAUUGCUGGAGUAAGACCAAAUAUAGGGAGGCGAGGAGGGCUAUCCCUCAAGACCUAACCUGGUUCCACUAUCUGCCCCCCGCCCUCCCCCAGCGUACUUUGCUUUCUGCCUGGGAACGUGAUGGAUUCCAUAAAGUCCUGGGUCCUCACAAACAGAGCAGCCGCCCUGCAGAGCCAGGUUCCGAAGGUACCGAAAGGAAACGACACAGCACCAAGUCACAAAUAAAGAUUUAUCUGGUUGCCUA
This 3780-nucleotide long non-coding RNA is filed under the name Lynx pardinus (Iberian lynx). Lineage: Eukaryota; Metazoa; Chordata; Mammalia; Carnivora; Felidae. The record is from RNAcentral.